Molecule: long non-coding RNA, 1640 nt
Filed under: Homo sapiens (human)
Lineage: Eukaryota; Metazoa; Chordata; Mammalia; Primates; Hominidae
Description: non-protein coding lnc-DPP4-2:7
Source: RNAcentral
AUCUGACUACUCUAGGUACCUCAGAUGAGUGGAAUUAUGCAGUAUUUGUCCUUUUGUGUGUGAUUUGAUAAAUGUUUAAUAAUUUAUCAAACUCAGAAAAUUUUGGGACAAAGUACCAUUUAAAGAUAAAGCAAAUAAGUACAGCUAAAUAUUGUAAUAGUGUAUAGGUGUUACACUGAAGCCUGUGUAUAAGCAUUAACUAUGUACCAAUAAAUGCAAAGAAAAUAAACUUUGGUUAUAGCUUAUCUAAAUUAAUCUCAGAAUUUGACAAUUAAACAUAUGAAUUUGUAAUAAACAUUCUGCAUUUUUUUAAAAUUCAUCAUAUUUGUAACAGUGCCAAAAUAAUCUAAAAUCAGAACGCUUUCUGAGUAUAAUUAUAUUAUUAUAAUUCUCUACCUUGACAGAUGACAAUUUUAGAACACCCUAAAUACAAUUUCUAGUAUAUGCACUAAAAUAAAAUGUAACAGAUAGACAACUCACCAUAGUAUAAGUAACACAUUCAAAUUUAGUAAUUUAUUUUCCAGGUGGAAACCAGGCUUCUUGGAAGACUUCAAACUAUGCCAAAUGGUCUGAUUUCACCAUAGAGUAAUGGUUGCAGCUCUGCAUUUAUGGUAUAGGUUACAGCCAAGACUGGAUACAAUCUCAUCUCAUAAUAUCCAAAAGAAUAAAGCAAAAUAAAACCUCCUUCACCCUCGCACAUUAAAAGGAAUCAACAUCUUGACCCAAAGUUCAAACUCCUAGAACUUGUAAAUAUCUGUAAAACCCCCAACACCAAGGUUUCUGUAACCUGUCACAUCAGAGAAAUAGGGAGAUCUUCCACCACGGAAAUAUGACUAUUAAGAAUUCACAGAUUACCUGAAACAUUUACUAAUCACCUCCCACCCCCAACACCCCCUCCUCCGAGGGAAAAAGAAAAAGGGAGUGAGAGAGGAAGACUCAAAGCACUGGGGAAAGCCUGCUAUGAAAAUGCCAGGCCUUUCUUGGGGCUUAGACCGUCAACCUAAUCCUAGCCAGAACUAUCGCAGGACUAUAAUAGGGCAACAGAGUACUUUGUGUUUGAGAAUUGGGGUAGGAGGACCAGGAUGUGAAGACAUCUAACAAAUUUGUUUGUUUCUUUAUUGUUUGUUUUGUCCACACAAAAAGAAAGUUGAAUUAGGCAGUCUUUAACAUUUUCUUUUAAAAACAACUAUUCCUUGAAUUAUUUUAAAGUGAAAAGUCAUUAUUUUUACAGUCCUUCCAAAGGAUAUUAACAAGAUAGUUUUUGAAUGUAUUCAUGGUAUAGCCCUAAACAACAAAGGACACAUGGGCAAGUGCCAGGAUAUCCAGGCCUUCUGGAUUCCAAGGGGACAUUCAACCAUGGGAGAUGGGUUAAACGUCAAAGGGUUGCAUAAUCAGGUACAGAUUCUCUGAAAAUGUGUGAGUGAUUUUGAGAUAGACAUAACCCUCUAUAGUCAGGACAAGGGGAUAACAUGUUUGAGAACUUACUUCAGUCCUAUUAGGGGAUUGAUGCUUCAGAGAAAAGAGGACUACAAUAAGAUGAAAGCUACAGCUAUGCAGUAAAUAAACGUGGCAUAAUCAUUCUGAAUAUUCUAGUGCUUGGUGCACUUUAAAGUGUGUGAAUUCAUCCAUGAGGAGCUCUG